Molecule: long non-coding RNA, 703 nt
Organism: Cucumis melo (muskmelon)
Lineage: Eukaryota; Viridiplantae; Streptophyta; Magnoliopsida; Cucurbitales; Cucurbitaceae
Exons: 2
Source: RefSeq, a predicted model, not a curated record
UUUUUUUUUAAUUGAGGGUAUAAUUUGUAAAUUAUAAUGAUUUAGAAAGUAAAAAAGGUAAGGAAAAAAAGAAAGAAAGAAAAAGGAAAAUGUGGAGGUGAGUUAUAUUGGCAUUUGCCGUUUUGUUCUCAAUUCUCUCUCUAUUUGUAAUAUAUAAAAAACGGGAAUCGCCACAUUAUCCUCCGCCCCACUACUCUCCUCUCCUUCUUCAAACCAUUUGGAUUUUGAUCAGUGCUUCCACACAAAUUCCCCUCCUUUUGGAGAAGGAGAAUUCGACCAUCCAUCAAUGGCGUCUUCCAAUCCUACUACUAGGGCUUUCAAAGCUCUCUUCACCAUCUUCUCUCUCAUCUUCUUCAUUCUUUCUCCACUCGUUGACGCCGCAGCACCUGCUCCCGCUCCCGCUCCCGCUCCUUCUAGCGACGGGACCUCCAUUGAUCAGGGGAUUGCGUACGUUUUGAUGCUAGUGGCGUUGGUUCUCACGUAUCUAAUUCACCCUCUCGAUGCAUCUUUCUUACAAUUUUUUUCUGAAUUGAAUUGAAUUCUUCUUCCUAGGAUUGUAGCAAUGUAGGCGUUGUUUGUGGACGUUUGAGAAGGAACGAGACCCAUUUUUUCUUCUCUCUUUUUGUGAUAAAAUCAAAAGUGUAUAUUUGGGUUCCACAGAUUUUGAUCAAUUGCUCCAUUUAAUUCAUUGUUUAUUCGGUUA